AUAUUAACAAUAUUUGUUCGAGAACAUAAAGUUAGAAGAAAGAGAGAAAAAAAAAGAUGGUUGUGACAAAUAGCAUGGGUAUGAAUAUGGGCAUCAAAUGUUGCGUGAAGAAGGAUGAUCUUUUUACUCCUUAUCAAUUGGGAAAAUUCAAUCUAUCUCACAGGGAAAUUUAUAAUAUGAGUUAGUAGGCGCUCAAGGCGUAUGCUAGAGACGACGUCCUGUCUGUGAACUUUCGGGAGCACGUCUACACCGACUGAUUUUUUGAGGAGGCGGUGCUCCCUAGAUUGGCUCGUCCGAGGAGGAGAGUCUGAGGUGUUUGAGCCCCCACGCAUGUCCAUUUGCUACCAAGGGUUUCAUGGCCCCAUUGAGGAGGCGAUCCCUCCGGCUCCCGCAGAGUGGUAGUUGGUGGAGCGAUCCAUCCCUCGUUCUACGAAACUAACCAUUCACUAUGAUGUUUGAGAUUACUGGAACACUUUUUUGUUUGUUUUUUUGAUUUAAUUCAGGUUAAAAUUAUUAUUCCAUGUCUAUUUAAUUGAUGUGACCAAAAACACAUCAAAUGAAAGUAUAUUGGCCUUAGUCUAGAUGACCAAA
This is a long non-coding RNA of Chenopodium quinoa (quinoa), 591 nucleotides long. RefSeq lists it as uncharacterized. Lineage: Eukaryota; Viridiplantae; Streptophyta; Magnoliopsida; Caryophyllales; Amaranthaceae. The record is from RefSeq and is a predicted model, not a curated record. The transcript has 3 exons.